GACUAUCUAUAAGUGUAUGGCCAGUAUUUGGGCAGAUGAAAGGAGUGACUUGGCCAGGAUUCGGCUCCUCUGAGCUAGACGCAGUAUUGAAGUUAAUUUCGCUCCUCAAUGCGGAGCAAAAAUGGGAAGAGAUCAGGUACGCGGAAUUGUUUAUGUUUCUGCUAACACGCCCUGGAUUGAGGGGAGAGAAGAGAAACGAAAGCUCAGAUAGGACAGAAAAAUCGGAAUUGGAGUUGGAAAAAAGGGGAAAAGAUCGAGUUAAAACUACCCCCGUCCCAUGAGUCUUAUUUAAAAACACGGGGAAUGGUGAUUUAAAUGUGUUAAUGUCACCUAAUGAGAGAGCAAACAGCCCGGGAGAGGCUGGAGCUGCAAGAGGAGCGGCUCCUGGACCGGCUCUGGCUGGGCAGGCAGGAGCCAUUGAAGGACCCCCUGGUGCGGAUCUGGCUGCACUGGGAGGGAUUAGGCAAAUUAAAGCCUCUGGAGAAGUUAGCUCGAGUCCAGCAACAGCGAGUCCUGUCGGUUUAGUUGGAGUGUGCACAGAGGUGCAGAUGAGAUCGACCUUUGCUGGAGCUGCUUGCAGCGCGGCAGAGCUGAGCGAGAGUUAUGCAGAUGCUGCGGGGCUGACUAGCCCAGAAAUAACAGGAGUAACAGCAAGAGAAACUCCUGGCCCCACAGGGGCGAUGGUUGUGGGGUCUGCCCUGCCUGUUCCAGCGAGCAGGGAAGCACUCCGUAGCUCUGCAGCAGCUGGCAGUUUUGCCGGGGCAGAUAAAGUUGUCAUAGCAACAGCAGAAGUGAGCUCGAAAGUAGAGAAACAAGUAACAGCUAAAGUUGAUAGCUGUAUUGGUAAUGGAGUAAGAACGGUGAAGGCUGAAAAGUCAGCUUUAAGUAAGAUUGCUUUUGGCGUGGUAAAAUCAGAGAAAGUUAUUGUAGAUGUGGCACCUGUUGCAAAAACAAAAGAGAUUUUAGAAGUCACAGCGAAAGCGCCGCAGUAUUUGCCCAGGGUAGAGACGGCGGCAGGCGUAGGAGUCGCUGAUUUAGACUGUGACAAUGAAGCGAAGGCAUCAAGAAACAGAACUUUAAGAAU
RNAcentral lists this long non-coding RNA (1084 nucleotides) under Lepidothrix coronata (blue-crowned manakin). Its description in RNAcentral is "lncRNA (ENSLCOG00000004445.1)". The record is from RNAcentral. Lineage: Eukaryota; Metazoa; Chordata; Aves; Passeriformes; Pipridae.